Molecule: ribosomal RNA, 158 nt
Filed under: uncultured bacterium
Lineage: Bacteria
Description: partial 16S ribosomal RNA
Rfam family: Bacterial small subunit ribosomal RNA
Source: RNAcentral
UGAGGAAUAUUGGUCAAUGGGCGGGGAGCCUGAACCAGCCAAGUCGCGUGAGGGAAGACGGUCCUAUGGAUGUAAACCUCUUUUGUCGGGGAGCAAAGAGGCCACGUGUGGUCAAAAGCGAGAGUACCCGAAGAAAAAGCAUCGGCUAACUCCGUGCC